AGAGUUUGAUCAUGGCUCAGAUUGAACGCUGGCGGCAUGCCUUACACAUGCAAGUCGAACGGUAACGCGGGGCAACCUGGCGACGAGUGGCGAACGGGUGAGUAAUAUAUCGGAACGUGCCCAGUAGUGGGGGAUAGCCCGGCGAAAGCCGGAUUAAUACCGCAUACGACCUACGGGUGAAAGGGGGGGAUCGCAAGACCUCUCGCUAUUGGAGCGGCCGAUAUCAGAUUAGGUAGUUGGUGGGGUAAAAGCCUACCAAGCCGACGAUCUGUAGCUGGUCUGAGAGGACGACCAGCCACACUGGGACUGAGACACGGCCCAGACUCCUACGGGAGGCAGCAGUGGGGAAUUUUGGACAAUGGGCGCAAGCCUGAUCCAGCCAUGCCGCGUGCGGGAAGAAGGCCUUCGGGUUGUAAACCGCUUUUGUCAGGGAAGAAAUCCUUCGGGCUAAUACCCCGAGGGGAUGACGGUACCUGAAGAAUAAGCACCGGCUAACUACGUGCCAGCAGCCGCGGUAAUACGUAGGGUGCAAGCGUUAAUCGGAAUUACCGGGCGUAAAGCGUGCGCAGGCGGUUGUGUAAGACAGAUGUGAAAUCCCCGGGCUCAACCUGGGAACUGCAUUUGUGACUGCACAGCUGGAGUGCGGCAGAGGGGGAUGGAAUUCCGCGUAGCAGUGAAAUGCGUAGAUAUGCGGAGGAACACCGAUGGCGAAGGCAAUCCCCUGGGCCUGCACUGACGCUCAUGCACGAAAGCGUGGGGAGCAAUCAGGAUUAGAUACCCUAGUAGUCC
Molecule: ribosomal RNA, 789 nt
Filed under: uncultured bacterium
Lineage: Bacteria
Description: bacterial SSU rRNA
Rfam family: Bacterial small subunit ribosomal RNA
Source: RNAcentral